AAAGAUUCAGAAACAUAGAGGGCUGAACAAAUACUGUUUCAUCAAAGGAUCUCAAAGCUGAAAUAAUCCAGAAACAUAACUUGUAAACAUAUUACUGUUUCAUCUAACAUCUGAGUAUAAAAAAAUCAAAAACACCAAACAGUACUCAUGUUCUAUUGGAAAAUCUUGGGGAGUUCUGAUGGUAUUCACUCCAGGACAAGUUUGAGCAAUUAACAACUAGAAAUGAGUUGAACUCUUGCUAAUAUUCAAGUUUUCUUGGUUCAUUGUUGGCUGGAAUUUGGUUUUGAAUUUUGAUUUGGUUUCAAGUGAUUUUUCAAAUCAUGUUCUGUGUUGUUGCUAUUGUUGUUGUGUUUCCAUUGCUGACUCAGCUUCAUCUUAUCUCUUUCUGCUCUCCA
Molecule: long non-coding RNA, 395 nt
Filed under: Nicotiana benthamiana
Lineage: Eukaryota; Viridiplantae; Streptophyta; Magnoliopsida; Solanales; Solanaceae
Description: long non-coding RNA (NBEN_LNC018356)
Source: RNAcentral